RNAcentral lists this ribosomal RNA (497 nucleotides) under uncultured bacterium. Its description in RNAcentral is "partial 16S ribosomal RNA". It matches the Rfam family "Bacterial small subunit ribosomal RNA", at positions 28 to 507 of the family's 1533-position model. The record is from RNAcentral.
GAUGAACGCUGGCGGCGUGCCUAAUACAUGCAAGUCGAGCGAACGGACGAGAAGCUUGCUUCUCUGAUGUUAGCGGCGGACGGGUGAGUAACACGUGGAUAACCUACCUAUAAGACUGGGAUAACUUCGGGAAACCGGAGCUAAUACCGGAUAAUAUUUUGAACCGCAUGGUUCAAAAGUGAAAGACGGUCUUGCUGUCACUUAUAGAUGGAUCCGCGCUGCAUUAGCUAGUUGGUAAGGUAACGGCUUACCAAGGCAACGAUGCAUAGCCGACCUGAGAGGGUGAUCGGCCACACUGGAACUGAGACACGGUCCAGACUCCUACGGGAGGCAGCAGUAGGGAAUCUUCCGCAAUGGGCGAAAGCCUGACGGAGCAACGCCGCGUGAGUGAUGAAGGUCUUCGGAUCGUAAAACUCUGUUAUUAGGGAAGAACAUAUUUGUAAGUAACUGUGCACAUCUUGACGGUACCUAAUCAGAAAGCCACGGCUAACUACGUG